Molecule: long non-coding RNA, 1520 nt
Organism: Oxyura jamaicensis (ruddy duck)
Lineage: Eukaryota; Metazoa; Chordata; Aves; Anseriformes; Anatidae
Exons: 2
Source: RefSeq, a predicted model, not a curated record
AGGUGCUAGCAGUGGGAAGCUGUCAGCAGGUUGUAGAGAGGGUCUGUGGGAUGUGCUGAUCACAGAAGUUGGGGUCAGCAUUGCAAAAGAUUCAGGAAAUGACUUUUCAACUCAGGGGAAGAAAAAGAAAAAAAAACAACAACUUGGCAUUGUUGUCACAAAAUGAACCUUGUAGAACAGCCUCAAAAUACUGAAUUGCUUGGAGUGGAGAUUUUGUUGCUUCAGGGUGUGAUGAAAUGGUGGAGAGAAGCUGUCAAGAAGCAAAGGGCAACAGAGUACAGAAAGCACAGAUGUGAAAUGAGAACAGGCUGCUGUAGACCACCGAAUUACCAUCAAUAGCCAACCAAGGUUUUGUACAGACUUUGUGGGCUGGGAUCUCCAUCUCCUCCUCAAUCAGAGAGCCCAGGGAAGCGCUCAGACUUGAGCAUCCAAAGAGCUGACAUGGCUGGGAACUAAUUUGAUGAUUUUCCUUCCUUCCUCCACAUCGUUGUCUAACCAGAGGAGUUUGUGAUAGGAACCUGCAGAUCUCAGAAAAGGGCUAGGACACAGUCUGCUGCAUGGUGUUAGAGGAGAAACCCUGCUGUCGGGGCAGCUGGCUAAAUCAUUCCUCCCGAAAGAUUUGCCCUCAAAUCUCAAAGUCUACAGAAAACUGAUGGCUUGGGCUUGUGCAGGUGAUGAGAUGACACUUGAGCCAUUUGAAUUCUUGAGGAGUGAAGCUUCUGCCUACAGAGCCUGGAGCUGUGUGGGGUGCCUGGCAUGCAGGGCCCUGUCCCCAGGCAAGCAUCUGCCCGCACACACCGGAGCUAGUGUCUCUGGUCCUUGGGAGCAGCAGCAUCCGCUCGUGAGCCACCCCUGCAAGAGCCCUGCUCGUCACCCCACUGAGACCGAGAGUGAAAAGGCAGCUCGUAAUCCCGAGAGCGGGCAGGGCUGCUGCAGGGACAGCCCCGUGCGUCAGACCCCACACCACAGGGCGCAGCACCACCGCCCGUGCAAGCCUCUCGCUAUGAGACAGCCAGAGCCACCGCUCCUCCAUCUUACGGGUAACGCCGGAGCACAAAUGAAUAGGCGUUGAGCUUAGAUUUCAUUUGUCGAAAUACUGAAAAUGGAGCCUCACAGAGCAGGGUGGGAUUGGCACCUGCGCAUAGGUUUUGUCCUGUCUUAAAAAGGAUGCUCGGGUCUCGUGCACUGGUGGCUCCGCGGGAUGCUGGCACCAGAGACGAGGACGAGCCCUUCCCAGAAACCUGGCCCUGAGCGCUAACAGCGUGCUGCCAUUCUGCUGCUGGCUUUAGUAACCCCGCUGCACCGCAGGUGAGCCAGGCUCUUGCCACCACAGCACAAAUAGGAAAGUGACAACCCGUGAGCCCCGUGCCUGCUUCCUCCUGCGCCGCUCCGGUGCCGUGUUUGCUGCGCUGGGGCGCGCUGCUCGGUGCUCUCGCUGCUCCUGACCUCUUUCAUGACAAAAGCCCCAUUUUCAGGGUCACGUGGUGCUGAAAUCUAGGGCGCAGAGAGGCAUUAGUAGC